This 200-nucleotide microRNA precursor is filed under the name Oryza sativa Japonica Group (Japanese rice). Its description in RNAcentral is "MIR812 microRNA precursor family". It matches the Rfam family "MIR812 microRNA precursor family". The record is from Rfam by way of RNAcentral. Lineage: Eukaryota; Viridiplantae; Streptophyta; Magnoliopsida; Poales; Poaceae.
UUUAACCGCAUUCAUGAGUUUCCUUGUGUCCAACUUUGAUCAUCCGUCUUAUUUGAAAAGAUUUUGAAAAAAAAUAAAAAACAUUAAGUUACAUAUAAAGUAUUAUUAAUGUUUUAUUAUCUAAUAGCAAUAAAAAUACUAAUCAUAAAAAAAUUUCAAAUAAGACGGACGAUCAAAAGUUGGACAUUGAGACGCUUAAA